This 499-nucleotide ribosomal RNA is filed under the name uncultured bacterium. RNAcentral's name for it is "partial 16S ribosomal RNA". It matches the Rfam family "Bacterial small subunit ribosomal RNA", at positions 28 to 507 of the family's 1533-position model. The record is from RNAcentral.
GACGAACGCUGGCGGCGUGCCUAAUACAUGCAAGUCGAGCGAAGUUUUUCUGGUGCUUGCACCGGAAAAACUUAGCGGCGAACGGGUGAGUAACACGUAAAGAACCUGCCUCAUAGACUGGGACAACUAUUGGAAACGAUAGCUAAUACCGGAUAACAGCAUUAACUGCAUGGUUGAUGUUUAAAAGUUGGUUUUGCUAACACUAUGAGAUGGCUUUGCGGUGCAUUAGCUAGUUGGUGGGGUAAAGGCCUACCAAGGCGACGAUGCAUAGCCGACCUGAGAGGGUGAUCGGCCACACUGGGACUGAGACACGGCCCAGACUCCUACGGGAGGCAGCAGUAGGGAAUCUUCCGCAAUGGGCGAAAGCCUGACGGAGCAACGCCGCGUGAGUGAAGAAGGAUUUCGGUUCGUAAAGCUCUGUUGUUAGGGAAGAAUGAUUGUGUAGUAACUAUACACGGUAGAGACGGUACCUAACCAGAAAGCCACGGCUAACUACGUG